AUGUGAUUUGCUGGCGGCAGCUUGAUGG
RNAcentral lists this non-coding RNA (28 nucleotides) under Cricetulus griseus (Chinese hamster). Lineage: Eukaryota; Metazoa; Chordata; Mammalia; Rodentia; Cricetidae. The record is from RNAcentral.